GCACUGCUGAGGAGUCCCACAAUAGGUCGAAACGGCAGUCCAGUAC
Non-coding RNA from Schistosoma mattheei, 46 nucleotides. The record is from Rfam. Lineage: Eukaryota; Metazoa; Platyhelminthes; Trematoda; Strigeidida; Schistosomatidae.